AAGGAAUUGACGGAAGGGCACCACAAGAACGCGUGGGGCAUGUGGCUUAAUUUGACUCAACGCGGGAAAUCUUACCGGGUCCGGACACACUGAGGAUUGACAGGUGUUUCGUAGGAUACUUAUACUCUUUAUUGAGUGUAUGCUUUAUACCUACAUAUCAAAUAUGCUAGUCCUUUCAUGAUUGUGUGAUAGGUGGUGCAUGGCCGUUCUUAGUUCGUGGAGUGAUCUGUCUGCUUAAUUGCGUUUCACUUAUAGCUUAGGAUCCCACUGUAGUGUCGCUUGUGACCUCACUUUAACGAGUGACGCGUCCAGCACAUUUGUGGACCUAGGCUUCGAAGGCAACGAACGUGACCG
RNAcentral lists this ribosomal RNA (354 nucleotides) under Foraminifera environmental sample. RNAcentral describes it as "SSU rRNA". It matches the Rfam family "Eukaryotic small subunit ribosomal RNA", at positions 1147 to 1343 of the family's 1831-position model. Lineage: Eukaryota; Foraminifera. The record is from RNAcentral.